CCUACGGGUGGCAGCAGUGAGGAAUAUUGGUCAAUGGACGAAAGCCUGACGCAGCGACGCCGCGUGAGGGAUGAAGGUCUUCGGAUCGUAAACCUCUGUCAGCAGGGAAGCACGGUCACUGUGCUAAUCAGCAGUGAAUUGACGGUACCUGCAAAGGAAGCACCGGCUAACUCAGUGCCAGCAGCCGCGGUAAUGCGGAGGGUGCGAGCGUUAAUCGGAUUUACUGGGCGUAAAGCGCUCGUAGGCGGUAUGUCAAGGCAAGGGUGAAAUCCCCGCGCUCAACGUGGGAACUGCCUUUGAAACUGGCAAACUGAGGGGUGUGAGGGGAUAGUGGAAUUCCAGGUGUAGGGGUGAAUGCCGUAGAUAUCUGGAGGAACAUCAGUGGCGAGGCGGCUAUCUGGCACAUAACUGACGCUGAGGAGCGAAAGCGUGGGUAGCAAACAGGAUUAGAUACCCUUGUAGUC
RNAcentral lists this ribosomal RNA (464 nucleotides) under uncultured bacterium. Its description in RNAcentral is "partial 16S ribosomal RNA". It matches the Rfam family "Bacterial small subunit ribosomal RNA", at positions 338 to 795 of the family's 1533-position model. The record is from RNAcentral.